CCUCCCGCCCACCACCUCGCUGAUCCCAACAGUCUUCUGAUGAAUGAGGUCAUUUCACCCUUUGCUGCCAGGCAGUCCUCCGAGGGCAGUGUGGCUCAGAGCCAGAGAACAUGGACUGAUGGAUACCGUAAAGCCAGUGGAUGUCUCAGAUUGCCCUGAGCCUAGCACAUGGUAAGUGCUCAGCAACUGUUGAAAGAUUUCCCUGCAGCCUGGGUGGUAAAUUAUUCCUCCAAGCGAGUUUUGUACUUGCUCCUGCCAGGCACUCCAAGGAGCUUGCUGCGGUAUGGUAUAAAGCUCAGACUCGGCCCCUGCUUGGUGUCACAGGCUCACUGAAUUGUCCUGUCUGCCAGAAACCUGAAAGGGCCUUGUUGUUUCCCUGUGAGACUGCAGUGGGCAGAAGCAGAGAGACGCUGGUCUGGUGUCCUGAAAAGCUCUCAGUGAUUUGGCUUGGUACAGAAACGUCCUGGCCGGAUUUGUGGAAGUUGAUCUGCCUGCUCUGUCUUUAUUUGUUUCGUCUUGAUUUUUCCCCUCCAAUGGGAAAAUGAGGACUUAAAUCUUUGUGUGUGUGCAGUAUUUUUCCUUGAUAAACAAGCUCAAUACAUUCGGAACCAUUUUACCUUCUAAUGGAACUCUUUCUGAAAGUGAAGACUUGGAAAAUGAUGCAGUGGACUACCUUUGCAGAUAUCUAUUGAGCCAGAUAAUGCUGGAAAAGGAUCAGAGAGGGCAGGAUCAGCGACACAAGGAUAUCUCCAGUGGUCUUUUUUGUCCGUGUUUGUGUUCACGUCCCAGGUGCCACUUUACCACCAGCCUCACCCACACUGAGCCCUGGCAUUGCUACCAAAUUCGUCUCCAGAGCAGCUCAGGUGUUCUCUGACCUUUUGCUCGAAACCUCAAUGCUCACUGUAAAUUUCUGCAGAUCUAGGAGUGCAAUAAACGAUGAGAGAAUUUAACCGGUUUUUGCUAAAAGAGAACUUAUCGGGCCCAUGGAUUUUGAAAUUCAGCAUAAAGUGAAAUUUCCCAUCACAGUAAAUGCAUACAAUUAUAAAUAAUUAAGCCAAACUCUGAGUAGUAAUUUAUGUGUUUCUUUAAAAAUGUCCCUAAUAUAUUGACAUUGACCAUGGAGUGCAAGAAUUCUUAACAAUCAAUGGGAAUUCUGCUGAGCAUGAACACCAGACCUCGACAGUUAAUGUCCCAUCAGUAUCUGAUCACCAUAAAAGUUUUAGCAGGAGUUUGGCUCUGAGGUCAGGAAGUACUGUGGGCCCAGAAAUGAGAGUAAUAAAUUCACGAUGGAAAGAACUUCACUCUUCCUACUCAUCACUAAGACAAACUCGCUAGUUAAAAAGCUGCAC
Heterocephalus glaber (naked mole-rat) is the source of this 1349-nucleotide long non-coding RNA. The record is from Ensembl. NCBI's taxonomy places the organism in Eukaryota, Metazoa, Chordata, Mammalia, Rodentia, Bathyergidae.